RNAcentral lists this ribosomal RNA (663 nucleotides) under Triticum aestivum (bread wheat). RNAcentral describes it as "partial small subunit ribosomal RNA". The record is from RNAcentral. Lineage: Eukaryota; Viridiplantae; Streptophyta; Magnoliopsida; Poales; Poaceae.
AUGGUAUCCGCGACGACGAUGCACCACCGGCGCCGCUCCAUUCUCCAGCUGGCCCUCCUACUACUGGCGGCGUCACCGGCGGCAAUGCUGGCGGCCGGCGGAGCCUGCGAGAGAGAGGAGUUCCCGGCCGGCAGGAGCUACGCGACGUGCGCGGAUCUCCCUGCCCUCGGCGCCUCGCUGCACUGGACGUACGACGCGGCGGCCUCGUCGUUGUCCCUGGCAUUCGCGGCCAAGCCGCCCGGCGCGAGCGGCGCCGGCUGGGUGGCUUGGGGGGUCAACCCCACCGGCGAUGGCAUGAAGGGCGCGCAGACGCUCCUCGCCUUCAAGAGCAAAGGCGCAUACGUCGUCAACACGUACAACCUCACCGGGUACCGCCCGCUCAGCGCGGCGUCCACGCCGAUCGCGUUCGAGGCCACCGAGCUCGCCGCCGACGAGGGCGCCGACGGGAAGGUGCGGCUCUACGGCACGCUGCAGCUGCCCAAGGGCAUGGAGGCCGUGAACCACAUCUGGCAGGUAGGGUCGACGGUGGCCAAUGGGGUGCCGGCCAAGCACGCGUUCGCGCAGGAGAACCUCGAGGCGAAGGGCAGUCUUGUGCUCACCGGUGCCGGAGCGACGGAGGCCGCGCCAGCUCCGGUGUUUAUCUCUCACGACUAUCUCGAUUAA